This 253-nucleotide ribosomal RNA is filed under the name uncultured bacterium. Its description in RNAcentral is "partial 16S ribosomal RNA". It matches the Rfam family "Bacterial small subunit ribosomal RNA", at positions 524 to 776 of the family's 1533-position model. The record is from RNAcentral.
GACAGAGGUGCCAAGCGUUAGGCGGAAUCACUGGGCUUAAAGCGUGUGUAGGCGGAACGUUAAGUGCCUUGUGAAAUCCCACGGCUCAACCGUGGAACUGCUGGGCAUACUGGCGUUCUUGAGCCAGCCAGGGGUCGUCGGAACAAACGGUGGAGCGGUGAAAUGCGUAGAUAUCGUUUAGAACGCCAAAGGCGAAAGCAGACGACUGGGGCUGAGCUGACGCUGAGACACGAAAGCCAGGGGAGCAAACGGG